Molecule: ribosomal RNA, 614 nt
Filed under: uncultured marine bacterium
Lineage: Bacteria
Description: bacterial SSU rRNA
Rfam family: Bacterial small subunit ribosomal RNA
Source: RNAcentral
AGUACGACCGCAAGGUUAAAACUCAAAUGAAUUGACGGGGACCCGCACAAGUAGUGGAGCAUGUGGUUUAAUUCGAAGAUACGCGCAGAACCUUACCAACACUUGACAUGUUCGUCGCGACUCUAAGAGAUUAGAGUUUUCGGUUCGGCCGGACGAAACACAGGUGCUGCAUGGCUGUCGUCAGCUCGUGUCGUGAGAUGUUGGGUUAAGUCCCGCAACGAGCGCAACCCUCACUUUUAGUUGCCAUCAUUAAGUUGGGCACUCUGAAAGAACUGCCAGUGAUAAGCUGGAGGAAGGUGGGGAUGACGUCAAGUCCUCAUGGCCCUUACGUGUUGGGCUACACACGUGCUACAAUGGCAUCUACAACAGGAAGCAAAACGGCAACGUUAAGCAAAUCCCGAAAAGAUGCCUCAGUUCGGUUUGCACUCUGCAACUCGAGUGCAUGAAGCUGGAAUUACUAGUAAUCGUGGAUCAGCGUGCCACGGUGAAUGCGUUCCCGGGUCUUGUACACACCGCCCGUCACACCAUGGGAGUUGGUUCUACCUUAAGGCAAGGUUUCAAACCCUUGACCACGGUAUAGUCAGCGACUGGGGUGAAGUCGUAACAAGGUAACC